This 420-nucleotide ribosomal RNA is filed under the name uncultured crenarchaeote. RNAcentral's name for it is "bacterial SSU rRNA". It matches the Rfam family "Archaeal small subunit ribosomal RNA", at positions 459 to 879 of the family's 1478-position model. The record is from RNAcentral. Lineage: Archaea; Thermoproteati; Thermoproteota.
CAGCCGCCGCGGUAAUACCAGCUCUCCGAGUGGUGUGGACGUUUAUUGGGCCUAAAGCAUCCGUAGCUGGCUGAACAAGUCCCCUGUUAAACCCACCGAUUUAAUCGUUGGCUUGCGGGGGAAACUGCUCGGCUAGGGGGCGAGAGAGGCAGACGGUAUUCCCGGGGUAGGGGUGAAAUCCUAUAAUCCCGGGAAGACCACCAGUGGCGAAGGCUGUCUGCUAGAACGCGCCCGACGGUGAGGGAUGAAAGCUGGGGGAGCGAACCGGAUUAGAUACCCGGGCAGUCCCAGCUGUAAACGAUGCAGGCUAGGUGUUUGGACGGCCACGUGCCGUUCUAGUGCCGCAGGGAAGCUGUUAAGCCUGCCGCCUGGGGAGUACGAUCGCAAGAUUGAAACUUAAAGGAAUUGGCGGGGGAGCAC